Long non-coding RNA from Myotis lucifugus (little brown bat), 1118 nucleotides. RefSeq lists it as uncharacterized. The record is from RefSeq and is a predicted model, not a curated record. The transcript is spliced from 3 exons. Lineage: Eukaryota; Metazoa; Chordata; Mammalia; Chiroptera; Vespertilionidae.
UUUCAGAGACAGGCACGAAAUGGGGGGACACGACGAUCCGAGCGCCGACGCACGGAAACACGACCUCGCCCAGGGCGUCCCAUGGCACGGAGACCCGUUCACGCAGCCGGAGAGGCGGCGGCGGGGGGUGUGCGGGAGGGAGCGACACCUGAGAAAGAAGGGUGAUGAGCAGCUUCACAUUAUAUUGGAAAACUCUUCCAACCCUUAACUCUUGUUUGGGGACCUGGCCUAAUCGAAGUGCCGAUUGUAGGCAGAAACAGAAACUUGAAUCUCUUGCUGCAAAGCCGGUUAAAAGAGGCCCACGGGAGUAGGAGACACGGGCAGUGAAGCUCGUGAUGCGACUACUCUACAGGGCUUUUCAGAGGCGUCCUUAUGAGUUCUUCUGUUCGUUUUUUAAAGUGCAAAUUUAGCUAAACAACUUUCCGAACAGCACACAACCCAGGUAAUAUGGUUACCCCCCUCAUGUAAAAAUUCUUGGUGAUGCAUCACCUAAAAGAGAAUUCGUAAGAUUUCUGAUUGUGUAACAUAAACAGCGAACAUAACCAGGCUCAGGAACGCUUAAGUCCCCUUGUGUAAAUGCCCGAUUCCAUCGAUCAGAAAUAGUUUGUAGAGUAAACCUCAAUCACAGGGCCGCGCUCAGUGCCCUUUCCUGAACAGUAUCUCAACUUUCCUCCAGCCCCGAAGAAGAUAAACGGCAGCGUCGGUAUUUUGCUCUUUCCAAGGAAUAGACUGUCCUUUUCAGCCGACGGACGUCCUCAGGAAUGAGAUGUGUUUAGCGUUCGUAUGAGGAUAUUUUGGAAGACGGCGCAGGUCUGCCCUUCACAAUGACGAAAUUGCUCAUGGAUCCUUUCACCAUCCUCACACAAUUGCAGCUGUGUGUAUAUAGUUUGACGUACACAGGAGACACCUAGCAAAGCCCGAAACUAUAUUCUUUCUCGCCACGUCACCCUGGUAUAAAACUUUUUGGAAGUCAAGCACGUAUUUAUCAAUAGAAGAGAUGUUUGUCCAGUGUCACUCACAUCCUGUCAACUGUAUAUACAUUUACACCCUCUCGCCAAAACAUGCCUUCACCCCGCUGCUGACCGGCUGUCCGCCGUUCAAUCUCCAGUGAAGUCACG